Long non-coding RNA from Tripterygium wilfordii, 1600 nucleotides. RefSeq lists it as uncharacterized. Lineage: Eukaryota; Viridiplantae; Streptophyta; Magnoliopsida; Celastrales; Celastraceae. The transcript is spliced from 5 exons. The record is from RefSeq and is a predicted model, not a curated record.
GUGGCAGUGGCUCAGCUGCACAAUUUGGUUUUGCAGAUUUCAGGUUUGCUGGGAAUCUUUUUUAUCAAGAGCAAAACAACCAUUUGAAUUUGAUGUUGGAUUUGCUUAAUUCUGUGUUUUGAUUUCUCUGGGGGAAAGCAGUUCAUGUGAGUGAAAAUUUUCAGCUGCAGAUAUGAGGGAAUCUGAUUUCGGUGAUUCAACAUUCAACAUUCAAUGGUGAAUACCUGGAAAAAGCAGUGGCAUACAAGGCAAAAUUUUCAGGUGCCGAUUUAAGUGAUACAUGAUGGAUCACAUGGUAUGGCCAAAAAUAUUUCAUAAUUUUUUUUUGGCAAUGUGGCAUAAGCCAAGUCUACAACUAUAAGCACCAAAAAGAAGAGAAAAAGAUGAAACUUGAAACAGCGAUACAGGACAAAGUUUUCUACUUUCAGUUUAUAAGAAGCUCUUUUCCAUGCAAAGGCUAAUGCUCUAAUUUCAUUCAUAUCAGUUAAGUUUUUGUUUCCCUAGUACUAAAAAUUGAAUGCUCAUGCAUAAUAAUAUAUCUUGGAAAAGUAUAUUCAUUUUGCAUUUGAGGAAGCUGAAUUAGCUUAAUUUCUUGUGUCGAACUGGCAAUUAUUAGCGGAUAUCACCCUUGGAAUCUGCUCUGAAACUGGUUCUUAAUGAGGCUAAUAUCACAAAUGCCGUGCUUAUUAGAAAAAUCCUCACGUGACGUGAUCUCGGGGGUGCUGUCCUAGACCUACCCCAGGAGCAGGAGUUAGCACCAGAGCAAUGUUGAGUUGCGGAAACAGGACACAUAAUGCUUAUGGUAGUCCAUCAUCUCCUCUUCCAAGUGCUCCACCUCAGAAAAUGCUUGAUCGCAAUGGCUACUGUGAUGAAUGCUCUGGUCUACGCGAUGCAAAAUAGGUCCAAGGUACAUAAAUUUUACUGAUUGGCGACACAAAUCAGUUUAUAGAGAUGCAUCUAUCAUGAACUAUGUAAGUUUGAAACCAGAGGAAACAGAAGGAUUGUUAAAUUUUUUGACAAAGGGAUCCGCAACAGCUAACGUUACGACAUUCAUAUUAUAUUCAACAAUGUCCUGCCUUCUGAUUGAAUCAACAAAGCUUGUGGCCCUGUAGGGAAUUGCAAUGUAUUGGAAUGAGCUUGUUUUCUGCCACCAGUGCUUGGUUAUGUUGCCAAACUCGCCUCACACGGAAAAAUGGCCUUCAUAUGAGAUCAUUAAUGCCCAAUGAAACAGGGGAGAAAGUGAACAUACUUAUUCGGUUCUGUUUGGAUAAGAUUUGGAGUUGUAUGAGUUAAAAAACCGUUUGCCCGAAAUACUUAAGCCCAUGUUGAAGGGCCCACAAAAGCCCUGGUUAAACUGGUCAAAAAGUCCGCUCGAAGGUACAUCCAAGCCAAGCCCAAAUGAAGUCCAAGACCCACAAUUGAAAUAGGCGUUAUAAUGGAUACAAGAGGCCCAAGGCCUGUGAGACUAAGGAAACCCCAUACUGAGGCCUCAGGCCAAUCAUAGCCCAAGGGAGAAGCUCGUUCAUACGGUCAACACGUGUUGAGCAUGUGAUCUGGAAGCACUUAAUAGACGAGGACCCCUCCUCAUUUACUCUCUCAA